This 451-nucleotide ribosomal RNA is filed under the name Theileria mutans. RNAcentral's name for it is "SSU rRNA". It matches the Rfam family "Eukaryotic small subunit ribosomal RNA", at positions 486 to 984 of the family's 1831-position model. RNAcentral also lists the same sequence under 1 other name. Lineage: Eukaryota; Apicomplexa; Aconoidasida; Piroplasmida; Theileriidae. The record is from RNAcentral.
CGGGGCUCAACGCCUUGUAAUUGGAAUGAUGGGAACCUAAACCCCUUCCAGAGUAUCAAUUGGAGGGCAAGUCUGGUGCCAGCAGCCGCGGUAAUUCCAGCUCCAAUAGCGUAUAUUAAAAUUGUUGCAGUUAAAAAGCUCGUAGUUGAAUUUCUGCCGCCCCGCCGCGGCCCCCGGGCCCGACGUCGCGGCUUAUUUCGGCGACCUCGCGCCGCCGAAUGUUUACUUUGAGAAAAUUAGAGUGCUCAAAGCAGGCCCUUGCCUUGAAUACUUUAGCAUGGAAUAAUAAAGUAGGACUUUGGUUCUAUUUUGUUGGUUUAGCGCCAAAGUAAUGGUUAAUAGGAACAGUUGGGGGCAUUCGUAUUUAACUGUCAGAGGUGAAAUUCUUAGAUUUGUUAAAGACGAACCACUGCGAAAGCAUUUGCCAAGGAUGUUUUCAUUAAUCAAGAAC